RNAcentral lists this transfer RNA (87 nucleotides) under Phycisphaerae bacterium. RNAcentral's name for it is "tRNA-Ser". It matches the Rfam family "tRNA". Rfam says of the family: Transfer RNA (tRNA) molecules are approximately 80 nucleotides in length. Their secondary structure includes four short double-helical elements and three loops (D, anti-codon, and T loops). Further hydrogen bonds mediate the characteristic L-shaped molecular structure. tRNAs have two regions of fundamental functional importance: the anti-codon, which is responsible for specific mRNA codon recognition, and the 3' end, to which the tRNAs corresponding amino acid is attached (by aminoacyl-tRNA synthetases). tRNAs cope with the degeneracy of the genetic code in two manners: having more than one tRNA (with a specific anti-codon) for a particular amino acid; and 'wobble' base-pairing, i.e. permitting non-standard base-pairing at the 3rd anti-codon position. RNAcentral also lists the same sequence under 1 other name. Lineage: Bacteria; Pseudomonadati; Planctomycetota; Phycisphaerae. The record is from RNAcentral.
GGAGAGGUGUCGGAGCGGCUUAUCGAGCAGCCUUGGAAAGGCUGUGCAGGGUUUACCCUGCCGCGGGUUCGAAUCCCGCCCUCUCCG